Molecule: long non-coding RNA, 462 nt
Organism: Oncorhynchus keta (chum salmon)
Lineage: Eukaryota; Metazoa; Chordata; Actinopteri; Salmoniformes; Salmonidae
Exons: 5
Source: RefSeq, a predicted model, not a curated record
UGGAGCCAUGCAGAACCUCAAUCUGCAUCCUGGGGACUCUGGAGAGAACCUGUGUAAUGGGGAAACGGCAGCUAAAGUAACAGUGUUGACAGAUCACUUCAACAUCCAGAGUACCACUGCUGUUAUGAAAACAGAUGUUGUUGGGAGAGAUAAGGACCUACAAAUGUUGUGGUGAUGAAAGCUGUCGUUGGACUAUGCGUCGUGUUGCUUUUGGCUGGAAUGCUGGGCCUUUUGCUGAUAGACUGAACAAACAUGUGAUACGAUCACCUUAUUUCCUAUAGUGAGAGGACACAAGCAGGAAGGAGCUCCAGACUAGGUGCUUGUCAAAUCUAGGGCCUUUCUCAUAUGGAAGACACUGAGGUUCAGUUUGCAUCUCUGGGUCGGCAGAACUGGAGGGAAAGAUCGAGGCUACAGGGAGACCUGCAUCACGUCAUCUAAUCCGCUGUGGUCACUGCUAGACCA